UGUGUAGGCGGUCUCAUAAGUCGGGUGUGAAAGCCCAGGGCUCAACCCUGGAAGUGCACUCGAAACUGCGAGGCUAGAGUACCGGAGAGGUUGGUGGAAUUCUCGGUGUAGAGGUGAAAUUCGUAGAUAUCGAGAGGAACACCGGUGGCGAAGGCGGCCAACUGGACGAGUACUGACGCUGAGACACGAAAGCGUGGGGAGCAAACAGGAUUAGAUACCCUGGUAGUCCACGCCGUAAACGAUGGGUGCUAGGUGUCGCGGGCUUUGACUCCUGCGGUGCCGUAGCUAACGCAUUAAGCACCCCGCCUGGGAAGUACGGCCGCAAGGCUAAA
This 332-nucleotide ribosomal RNA is filed under the name uncultured bacterium. RNAcentral's name for it is "bacterial SSU rRNA". It matches the Rfam family "Bacterial small subunit ribosomal RNA", at positions 568 to 898 of the family's 1533-position model. The record is from RNAcentral.